ACGCGCGCUACACUGAUGAAGUCAACGAGUAUUCACCUUGGCUGGAAAGUCUGGGUAAUCUUGUGAAACUUUAUCGUGCUGGGGAUAGUCACUUGUAAUUUUGACUUGAACGAGGAAUUCCUAGUAAGCGUGAGUCAUCAGCUCGCGUUGAUUACGUCCCUGCCCUUUGUACACACCGCAA
This 181-nucleotide ribosomal RNA is filed under the name uncultured aquatic eukaryote. Its description in RNAcentral is "partial small subunit ribosomal RNA". It matches the Rfam family "Eukaryotic small subunit ribosomal RNA", at positions 1491 to 1674 of the family's 1831-position model. The record is from RNAcentral.